GGGUUGUGAGGUUAAGCGACUAAGCGUACACGGUGGAUGCCCUGGCAGUCAGAGGCGAUGAAGGACGUGCUAAUCUGCGAUAAGCGUCGGUAAGGUGAUAUGAACCGUUAUAACCGGCGAUUUCCGAAUGGGGAAACCCAGUGUGUUUCGACACACUAUCAUUAACUGAAUCCAUAGGUUAAUGAGGCGAACCGGGGGAACUGAAACAUCUAAGUACCCCGAGGAAAAGAAAUCAACCGAGAUUCCCCCAGUAGCGGCGAGCGAACGGGGAGGAGCCCAGAGCCUGAAUCAGUGUGUGUAUUAGUGGAAGCGUCUGGAAAGGCGCGCGAUACAGGGUGACAGCCCCGUACACAAAAAUGCACAUAUUGUGAGCUCGAUGAGUAGGGCGGGACACGUGGUAUCCUGUCUGAAUAUGGGGGGACCAUCCUCCAAGGCUAAAUACUCCUGACUGACCGAUAGUGAACCAGUACCGUGAGGGAAAGGCGAAAAGAACCCCGGCGAGGGGAGUGAAAAAGAACCUGAAACCGUGUACGUACAAGCAGUGGGAGCACAGAGCAAUCUGUGUGACUGCGUACCUUUUGUAUAAUGGGUCAGCGACUUAUAUUCUGUAGCAAGGUUAACCGAAUAGGGGAGCCGAAGGGAAACCGAGUCUUAACUGGGCGUUAAGUUGCAGGGUAUAGACCCGAAACCCGGUGAUCUAGCCAUGGGCAGGUUGAAGGUUGGGUAACACUAACUGGAGGACCGAACCGACUAAUGUUGAAAAAUUAGCGGAUGACUUGUGGCUGGGGGUGAAAGGCCAAUCAAACCGGGAGAUAGCUGGUUCUCCCCGAAAGCUAUUUAGGUAGCGCCUCGUGAAUUCAUCUCCGGGGGUAGAGCACUGUUUCGGCAAGGGGGUCAUCCCGACUUACCAACCCGAUGCAAACUGCGAAUACCGGAGAAUGUUAUCACGGGAGACACACGGCGGGUGCUAACGUCCGUCGUGAAGAGGGAAACAACCCAGACCGCCAGCUAAGGUCCCAAAGUCAUGGUUAAGUGGGAAACGAUGUGGGAAGGCCCAGACAGCCAGGAUGUUGGCUUAGAAGCAGCCAUCAUUUAAAGAAAGCGUAAUAGCUCACUGGUCGAGUCGGCCUGCGCGGAAGAUGUAACGGGGCUAAACCAUGCACCGAAGCUGCGGCAGCGACACUGUGUGUUGUUGGGUAGGGGAGCGUUCUGUAAGCCUGUGAAGGUGUGCUGUGAGGCAUGCUGGAGGUAUCAGAAGUGCGAAUGCUGACAUAAGUAACGAUAAAGCGGGUGAAAAGCCCGCUCGCCGGAAGACCAAGGGUUCCUGUCCAACGUUAAUCGGGGCAGGGUGAGUCGACCCCUAAGGCGAGGCCGAAAGGCGUAGUCGAUGGGAAACAGGUUAAUAUUCCUGUACUUGGUGUUACUGCGAAGGGGGGACGGAGAAGGCUAUGUUGGCCGGGCGACGGUUGUCCCGGUUUAAGCGUGUAGGCUGGUUUUCCAGGCAAAUCCGGAAAAUCAAGGCUGAGGCGUGAUGACGAGGCACUACGGUGCUGAAGCAACAAAUGCCCUGCUUCCAGGAAAAGCCUCUAAGCAUCAGGUAACAUCAAAUCGUACCCCAAACCGACACAGGUGGUCAGGUAGAGAAUACCAAGGCGCUUGAGAGAACUCGGGUGAAGGAACUAGGCAAAAUGGUGCCGUAACUUCGGGAGAAGGCACGCUGAUAUGUAGGUGAAGUCCCUCGCGGAUGGAGCUGAAAUCAGUCGAAGAUACCAGCUGGCUGCAACUGUUUAUUAAAAACACAGCACUGUGCAAACACGAAAGUGGACGUAUACGGUGUGACGCCUGCCCGGUGCCGGAAGGUUAAUUGAUGGGGUCAGCGCAAGCGAAGCUCUUGAUCGAAGCCCCGGUAAACGGCGGCCGUAACUAUAACGGUCCUAAGGUAGCGAAAUUCCUUGUCGGGUAAGUUCCGACCUGCACGAAUGGCGUAAUGAUGGCCAGGCUGUCUCCACCCGAGACUCAGUGAAAUUGAACUCGCUGUGAAGAUGCAGUGUACCCGCGGCAAGACGGAAAGACCCCGUGAACCUUUACUAUAGCUUGACACUGAACAUUGAGCCUUGAUGUGUAGGAUAGGUGGGAGGCUUUGAAGUGUGGACGCCAGUCUGCAUGGAGCCGACCUUGAAAUACCACCCUUUAAUGUUUGAUGUUCUAACGUGGACCCGU
Molecule: ribosomal RNA, 2220 nt
Filed under: Escherichia coli
Lineage: Bacteria; Pseudomonadati; Pseudomonadota; Gammaproteobacteria; Enterobacterales; Enterobacteriaceae
Description: partial 23S ribosomal RNA
Rfam family: Bacterial large subunit ribosomal RNA
Source: RNAcentral